This 677-nucleotide ribosomal RNA is filed under the name Melanogaster sp. OSC 59778. RNAcentral describes it as "LSU rRNA". It matches the Rfam family "Eukaryotic large subunit ribosomal RNA", at positions 35 to 683 of the family's 3401-position model. The record is from RNAcentral. Lineage: Eukaryota; Fungi; Basidiomycota; Agaricomycetes; Boletales; Melanogastraceae.
UAAGCAUAUCAAUAAGCGGAGGAAAAGAAACUAACGAGGAUUCCCCUAGUAACUGCGAGUGAAGCGGGAAGAGCUCAAAUUUUGAAUCUGGCGGUCUUUCGGCCGUCCGAGUUGUAAUCUAGAGAAGCGUUUUCCGCGCUGGACCGUGUACAAGUCUCCUGGAAGGGAGCGUCAUAGAGGGUGAGAAUCCCGUCUUUGACACGGACUACCAGUGCUAUGUGAUACGCUCUCGACGAGUCGAGUUGUUUGGGAAUGCAGCUCAAAUUGGGUGGUAAAUUCCAUCUAAAGCUAAAUAUAGGCGAGAGACCGAUAGCGAACAAGUACCGUGAGGGAAAGAUGAAAAGAACUUUGGAAAGAGAGUUAAACCGUACGUGAAAUUGCUGAAAGGGAAACGCUUGAUGUCAGUCGCGUCCGCCGGGGAUCAACCUAGCCUAAUCGCUCGGUGUACUUUCUGGUGGACGGGUCAGCAUCAGUUUCGAUCGCCGUACAAGGGCGAAGGGAAUGUGGCACUCUUCGGAGUGUGUUAUAGCCUUUCGUCGCAUGCGGUGACUGGGACUGAGGAACUCAGCACGGCCCCUCGAGGGUUCGGGGCUUCGGCCUACGUAUCGUGCUUAGGAUGCUGGCAUAAUGGCCUUAAGCGACCCGUCUUGAAACACGGACCAAGGAGUCUAACAUGC